Molecule: ribosomal RNA, 776 nt
Filed under: uncultured Duganella sp.
Lineage: Bacteria; Pseudomonadati; Pseudomonadota; Betaproteobacteria; Burkholderiales; Oxalobacteraceae
Description: bacterial SSU rRNA
Rfam family: Bacterial small subunit ribosomal RNA
Source: RNAcentral
CAAGUCGAACGGCAGCGCGGGGCAACCUGGCGGCGAGUGGCGAACGGGUGAGUAAUAUAUUGGAACGUACCCUGGAGUGGGGGAUAACGUAGCGAAAGUUACGCUAAUACCGCAUACGAUCUAAGGAUGAAAGCAGGGGACCGCAAGGCCUUGUGCUCCUGGAGCGGCCGAUAUCUGAUUAGCUAGUUGGUGGGGUAAAGGCCUACCAAGGCAUCGAUCAGUAGCUGGUCUGAGAGGACGACCAGCCACACUGGAACUGAGACACGGUCCAGACUCCUACGGGAGGCAGCAGUGGGGAAUUUUGGACAAUGGGCGAAAGCCUGAUCCAGCAAUGCCGCGUGAGUGAAGAAGGCCUUCGGGUUGUAAAGCUCUUUUGUCAGGGAAGAAACGGUGUGGGCUAAUAUCCUGCACUAAUGACGGUACCUGAAGAAUAAGCACCGGCUAACUACGUGCCAGCAGCCGCGGUAAUACGUAGGGUGCAAGCGUUAAUCGGAAUUACUGGGCGUAAAGCGUGCGCAGGCGGUUUUGUAAGUCUGUCGUGAAAUCCCCGGGCUCAACCUGGGAAUUGCGAUGGAGACUGCAAGGCUAGAAUCUGGCAGAGGGGGGUAGAAUUCCACGUGUAGCAGUGAAAUGCGUAGAGAUGUGGAGGAACACCGAUGGCGAAGGCAGCCCCCUGGGUCAAGAUUGACGCUCAUGCACGAAAGCGUGGGGAGCAAACAGGAUUAGAUACCCUGGUAGUCCACGCCCUAAACGAUGUCUACUAGUUGUCGGGUUUU